GUAGGCGUAGCUCAGUUGGUUAGAGCGCUGCACCGGAAUCGCAGGGCCGCAGAUUCGAUUCCUGCCAGAGGGUCUAUA
Molecule: transfer RNA, 78 nt
Filed under: Paramuricea clavata
Lineage: Eukaryota; Metazoa; Cnidaria; Anthozoa; Malacalcyonacea; Plexauridae
Description: tRNA-Ser
Rfam family: tRNA (bases 7-66)
About the family: Transfer RNA (tRNA) molecules are approximately 80 nucleotides in length.
Source: RNAcentral